GUGAAGCUCUCUCCUCUUUGCGUCUUUCUCCCCCGCUCUCUCUCUCUCUCUCCUUUAUUUCAAAUUUCGUUCGAGACCCCUUCCUCCUCUACCUCUCCUCUCCUCUCUCUCCGUAUCGAAAAAUCCGACGACCACCUCCGGGCUUUCAAUUGCUGGGAAACGACGGAGGCUUGGUGGCAUUGGGUCGGAGGGCUCUAUGGCACGAGCUUCCCUCUGAAGGAAGGGGUCAUCGGAGAGAAAUAGACAAGAAUGUUGGCGUCUGUGCAGUCGUUACACUAGCCGGCCGACCCAGAAGAGAACGAAGUCGAACUCCCUGUCGACGUCGUCGUCGUCCUCCGUACUGGCACGUCGUAACCCGCACGCCAAUUCCGUCUCUCCUAUGCGGAUGCUGCCGCCAUCCAUUGAGAUGAUUAGUUUGAGCAUCACCCAUCGCUUGGCUGAAUGGAGCGCUGGAACAAAAGCUAGCACAGUCACCAAAAACUGUUAUGGCGAGACAGUGCCGAUGAGCAGAAUUGCAUAUCUAGGCAAAUACCUAGAGCAGAUGAGACCUGUAGAUGAAGUACUUAAGACAUGCAUAGUCCAUCAACGCCAGCAUAUCUUCUUGACAUAACAAUGCUCUUGGCUUUGCGGAAAGACAGACACACUUCUAUCUACUACGGCAAACUAAGCCCAAAGUAAAGAGCUUGCCCAGAUCGUUAUGCUGAUGGCAACCAUCAGCGCCUUCCCGGCUUGCCUAAUACUUAGAACCAACUUUUUUAUUAGGACUUUGCUUUACUAAUUUUUCACUUGCUAUAAUGUACGCUUACUGGCAAUUGUAACAAUUUACUUCUCUGCCUCCCCUGACAAUUCUAUGGGAGAGUGUGAAUAUGAAAAUGUCUCCUUUGUCAUGUAAAGACGACUAAAAAGCAUAUUGCUUUUGCUCGGAAUUAAGGUGGCUCAUUUCUACUUAG
Long non-coding RNA from Eucalyptus grandis, 950 nucleotides. RefSeq lists it as uncharacterized. The record is from RefSeq and is a predicted model, not a curated record. The transcript has 2 exons. Lineage: Eukaryota; Viridiplantae; Streptophyta; Magnoliopsida; Myrtales; Myrtaceae.